This is a long non-coding RNA of Carya illinoinensis, 2387 nucleotides long. RefSeq lists it as uncharacterized. The transcript has 2 exons. The record is from RefSeq and is a predicted model, not a curated record. NCBI's taxonomy places the organism in Eukaryota, Viridiplantae, Streptophyta, Magnoliopsida, Fagales, Juglandaceae.
UUUGUUUUGUUAGAAUGGGUGGUUGAGAGUUGAUCUGGAUAUUUUCUUCCUCAGUCGAAUAAUUUAAAUGGCCAUAAUCAUUGUUCUUAAAUACCUCUGACUGUUUUGUCUCCUUUGUUGAUGUGCCUCCACAUGUCCUUGUGAACAUGUCUCCCAUCUUCAUGCUCAUGCAGCUUCACAGGCCAAUUUUCACUGGUUCAUUGAUACUAUUCAUUCCCAAUACUUCAUUAUUUUCCAUGGAUUCCUUUGCGAAAGUAUUUUGGAUCAUUCCUUUCACUUCUGCUGGAUGUACUUUUUCUUUUCUUUCACUCGAUCAUCAAGGAAGAAAUUCCUUGUUUCGUUUGCCUGAUGAGAAGUUCCAAAUGGGAUGAUUUCAAUUGGGAAAUGCUCUUGUGAAUAUUGCAUAUUUUCCAUGCCAUUGUUACGUCUAGUGAAUUGACUUUCCGCUCUCAUCCAAGGGCCAUAGUUUGUUACCUCAGUUUGAUCCUGUAGGAGAGGGUAGACUUGUUGGAUAUGUCCAAGACAGCCGCAAAUUCGAGAGUCUUUCAUAUUUGAAGCUAAUCCAGGCUUGCUCUCGAAGGCCAGUCGCUAACGAGCAUGUGGAAUCUUUUUAUAUUCCAUAGUCUUUGAUCCACAUCUCUUAGUUUUUCUUGCUGGUUUUGAAAGCGAAUAAGAAAGUGUUCACAUCCAAAUCUUUAAUAUUUAGCCUCCCUGCAAAACUCCAAGCCAUUUUAAUUGUUGCAUGCAGAGAAUUUCUAUUCAAAGGCCUGGAUGAUAUAACUCUUCCUAUAAGGACAUGAGCGGACAGCUGAGUAGCAAUAUCUGUUUCUGGCUGCAAGUCAAGGUCGUUUCAGGAUGUAAUUUGGGUUUGAGUUCCUGUUGGUUUCGUAGAUGGAGAUGCUGACAUCUUGUUUUCCGUGGGAAGUCAAAGAAAAGGGGAUGCUGGUUGUUGGGAAAGGUAGGUGGAGGGAGAGAGUUUCUUGAAAGUUUUAAUUAGUUAUUGGGUUGGAUUGGGAUGGAUUGGGCUGUUUGAUGGCACUUAAACCUAGUUAAGGUGGAUUUGAAUUCUAUAUUUAUUUAUUUUUUUUAAAAGUAGUGCGCAGUUAUGCAUUUUAUGAUUGUAAAUAUUAUUUUUCAUUAUAUUAUAUGAUAGAUUCAUUUUAUUUAUUAAUAUCUAUAAAUGAUGAUCAUAAAUCCUUUGUUUUUUUUUAAACAAUAUUUGAUUUUAAAUGGUGGCAGCAUCUUCAAAUACUUAUACUUGUCAAGCAGCUGGGCCUUUUCUAAACCAUCCGUUUUUAGGUGCAGCCUAGUCACUGGGCAAGGUUUGGUUGCAAAGAUGGCUGCAUCAAUUGCGAGCUGGGCCGAAGGGCAUUAAAGGCCUGAAUCUCAUAGGACUACUCCUUUUCCGACCACCUUUAUCUUUCUUUUAUUUUAUUAUUAUUAUUAUUAUUAUUAUUAUUAUUAUUAUUAUUAUUACUUUUAAAUUUCGUUAAUCAGAUCGACCGGUUUGAUUAGAGCAUCCCCAUUCGGUUCUGCAUAUGGUUUUCUUCUCUAUAAUUUACGGAAUAAUUUAGGGUUUUCAUCAAAAACCCAUCUCCAUCCCAAUCCCCAUUUUACGGACUUCAUUUCCGGUCUAUACAGGAAAUCCCUAUAUUUGUUAAAAUACUGUACAUCCGCAUCGGUCCUUGGCUCCAGCGAUCUCCCCUUCAUCCCGCGUCUUCUCUCUCUGAAACGGUUGGCCCUCCCUUGCACUUCAGCACCAUCGAUUGCAGAUCUCCAUUGUCAAAUUUUGGUAAGUUCAAAAUAUUUUCUCUUUAAAGAUCGUAUGUACCAAAAACCCUCAUUUUCUUUUAUUUUUCUUUUCCUCUCUCUCUCUCUCUCUCUCUCUCCCCUUCUCUGUUUUUGGCUGCCCAUCUUCUUCCUCCCGAUGCCAUGAUCAAUUUUUGUGAGAGAAAUAAUUAUCUGGUUAGUGUAAAAAUAACUGUAUGUGUUUUGCUUGAUUUGGGGGAGUAGUUUUUGGUGGAUUUCCCAUUGAUGGGCAUGGGUUUUCUGGAGAAAGAUUGUGGCCGCGAUUUACUAUCCUAGUCUAUUUCUCACAUGGGUUUCUUUCUAUUUUCUAUAAUUGUAUAUUUUAUGGUUUGCAUGAGGUUUUUUCUACUACAUAUUGGAUCGGUUGAGAGGUAAUUACUGUUGGUAUGAUUUUGGGUUCAAUUUUUUUUUUUAUUGUGUUUAUUGUACCAGGAUCUUUAUUUUUUGGCUUGGAUAUGAAGCUCCUUUCGUUGUUUAACCUCUUAUCCUGUAGUGAAGGAUUAUAUGUGUAGCUAUAGGAUGUUAUCUCAUGGAUUUUGUCACAGCAACAUCUCAGUGCAGAGAUUUUCAGUUUCCAA